UUAACAUUUCUAUAUAGAAAGAUAUGAAUCAAAAUCAAUCUAUAUAUUACGAAUAGUCUAGCCGAGUUAAAAUCUGGCAUUGACCCUUUCUUUAAAACCCGUCAUGCAAUUCAGUUCAACGAAUCACGUACAACUUGGCUAACAUGAAAGUUAGACAAGCGUUAAGAAAACUUGCCUUUCAGCGUCUUCAAAUAAUUUACUCAACCGACCACAGCCUUUACAGAAUCUAC
This 230-nucleotide long non-coding RNA is filed under the name Panax ginseng (ginseng). RNAcentral describes it as "long non-coding RNA (PGIN_LNC005944)". Lineage: Eukaryota; Viridiplantae; Streptophyta; Magnoliopsida; Apiales; Araliaceae. The record is from RNAcentral.